UGGGGAAUAUUGCACAAUGGGCGCAAGCCUGAUGCAGCCAUGCCGCGUGUGUGAAGAAGGCCUUCGGGUUGUAAAGCACUUUCAGCGAGGAGGAAGGGCAGUGUGUUAAUAGCACAUUGCAUUGACGUUACUCGCAGAAGAAGCACCGGCUAACUCCGUGCCAGCAGCCGCGGUAAUACGGAGGGUGCAAGCGUUAAUCGGAAUUACUGGGCGUAAAGCGCACGCAGGCGGUUUGUUAAGUCAGAUGUGGAAUCCCCGCGCUUAACGUGGGAACUGCAUUUGAAACUGGCAAGCUAGAGUCUUGUAGAGGGGGGUAGAAUUCCAGGUGUAGCGGUGAAAUGCGUAGAGAUCUGGAGGAAUACCGGUGGCGAAGGCGGCCCCCUGGACAAAGACUGACGCUCAGGUGCGAAAGCGUGGGGAGCAAACA
Molecule: ribosomal RNA, 427 nt
Filed under: uncultured bacterium
Lineage: Bacteria
Description: partial 16S ribosomal RNA
Rfam family: Bacterial small subunit ribosomal RNA
Source: RNAcentral